UUCUAUUCUAAAUGUCUUGUAGAAUUUAGCAGUGAAGCCAUCAGAACCUGGGCAUUUCUUUGUUGUGAAUAAAAACAUCUCACCUCUCCAGAUGAAUCAGCUUUCUUGGAAAAAAAAGAGAAGAAGAUGAAUGUUUAACUUUAUAAUUCAAGAUUGAAUAAACGAUUGAGGACAUUCACCAGCCAGACAGUCACAGAGUUCAUCAUGGCAGGGUAUCAGCCAGUACGGCAAAAGGAAGAGGUCCCCACUUGCCACGUGCCUCAUCAGAUCCAGGUCUAGCCCCGAUCUUCGCCCCUUGUCAGCAGGAAGCAGCUCCAGAAGAAGAGACCUUCGCCC
This 336-nucleotide long non-coding RNA is filed under the name Heterocephalus glaber (naked mole-rat). RNAcentral's name for it is "lncRNA (ENSHGLG00000032898.1)". Lineage: Eukaryota; Metazoa; Chordata; Mammalia; Rodentia; Bathyergidae. The record is from RNAcentral.